UUCCACUGGCCACUGCACUAGUUGCUUGCCGUUUCUGUCAAGCCAAAUCUGCCUCGGAAUUGACUGCAAAGGAUUAUCCAUAAACCAUUGAGAUUGAGGAUCAGUGUGAUUCUAAUACAUCAUGCAGCAUCAAUAAAUAUGUAAUGUCAAUCACCUGAAGUCCAUACCCUCCUUUCUUUAGAUCAUCUUCCAUACUAUCGGAUUCGUUUACCCAAGCGCAUAGUAUCCUUCGGUUCUUCUUACCGUCAAAGAACGACUUUGAGGCAUAGAAUUUACCGUAAUCAAAUCUCAAGUCCGAACUGGUUCCGGUAAGGUCAGCAUCAGGAAGGAACCUUUCCUGCUCGUUAACAUAAGUCCCUACUAUAUAGACAUCAUGGGAAUUGAAACUUGCCUUCAUGACAUGCCUAACACUUGGGUUUUCAAUAGAGGUGUCAACCCCAUUGGUGCCGUUAAUCGACACGGGAAAGAAGUCCGGACACUCCCACAUCUCGGUUUUUGACGACAAAUAAAGGGGAUCUUGAUGCAUUGUCCAAUGAAUAAAAUCUUGACUUUUGUAGAGUAUAGCCAUGCCCUGGUUAUUGCUAUAGCUUCCAAUGACUACUUUCCAGGUUCCAUCAGGGCCCUGCCAAGCAGUUGUUGGAUCUCUAAAGUUAUCUCCAUUAACACCAUCCGGUGGAGUCAUUAGAGGGUUUCCGGAGUAUUUGACCCAUUCAACUAGCAAUGGAUCGGAUUCGUUUUUCGGGGUUGCCAGGUUUUGAACCUGGUUAUAGUUAGCAUCUACGCCGGUGUAUAAAAUGACCGGUUUAUCCCCUGGAAGGAUCGUUGCUGAACCGGAAAUGCAACUUAUGGCAUCAAAUGGCUCGGAUGGAACAAGUGCAUGAUCAAGAUCGAACCAGUUAAUAAGAUCAUAUGAUGCAGAAUGUGCCCACACCAAACCAUGCACUAUUUGGAUUGUAUUGGUAGAAUAAGUGGUAGACUCCCUUGUUGUGCAUUGGCCCUGCAUGCAUAGAUGAACAAUAAUUUGUUGUCAGAUUUAACAUGCUGUAUCUGGACUUUUCAUUUUUCUUAAAAUACCCGUGUCCGAUACCUAGUCCGACACAUGCUCGAGCAUGAAAUAGAGCAUGAUCGUCUCAAUAUAUGAAUUUUUUUUUUUUUUAAAUUAUACUAUUAUUCAACACUCAUCUUCGAAUCCAUGAUACACAUUGACAUGAGUAUGAGGAUAUGAUUUUCCUAAAUCCGAGCAAUAUACAUAUAAAGUACAAAAGGAGAAGCAUAAAAAGAUAAGCUGAAACCUAAAGGAAAUUGGUUUCUUACCGUUAGGAUCUGUACAGUGAAUGUCACCCAUUUUCAUCAUCCCAUCAUUGAAGCAGAUCAGUUGAACCAAUUAACACCAAACAAGCACAUCAAUGCAGAGAAUUGGGAUUUUUUUAUUUUUUUAUUUAUUUUUUAAACAUGAAGUUGCAAGAACAAGAUCAGUUUCUUACCAUUCAUCCAGUUUCGAGGAGACUGGAAGUGAUAAGCUGUUCUAUAAGGCUGUUCUCCUGGCAAUAAAACCUGGAAAGAUUGAAAACUUGUCUUGUCUGUCAGAUAAUCACAGUCUUCCACUUUAUUCCCAUUGAUUAGCAGAAAACAAGAAAACCCAACAAACAGAAACAGAGAGAUAUCCAUUUUUUUGGCUCAAAAGAAGGCUGAGAUGAACCAAUGGGAUUUGUAAAACGUUUAUAUAUAUAUAAAGACCACGCAAGGACAAUAACCCAUGAAUUGUAAGAAUUUACACCGUGGUUAAAAGAAAUAAUUCUUAAUUUGCUAUAAUUAAAAAAAGAAAGAAAGAAACAAGUGUUGAGGUGUAAGAGAUAUCUGAUGGAUUUCCUUUACAACAUGAACUUCAUUAUUGCUUGCGUGUGGCUAAUUUCUUGUUUAACUAAAAUUAAAAUAUAAUCUUAAACUAAAGACUUGUAAAACAGUUAUGUAUAAGAAAAGACCAUUCAUGGACAAUAACCCAUAAGAAUUUACGCCAUGAUUAAAAGAAAUAAGUCUUAAUUUGCAAUAAUUAAAAAUAAUUAAAAUAUAAUCUUAAACUAAGACUUGUAAAACGAAAGAAUUGUUGAGGAGCAAGAGUUAUGUGAUGACCUCCCUUUUGCAACAUGAACUUCAUCAUUGCUGCGGUCAGCUUGAAUUGCGUGUGGCUAAUUUUUUGUUUAAUUAAAAUUAAAAAAAAUAACUUUAAAGACAUAUAUUUUUUUAAUACAAUAUCUAGAAUUAUUCAUAGUGUAUUCCUAACUCUUAAAUAAGAGUAUAAUGUACUUUAGCACACUUGAAUCCAUGUUCUCGACAAUAAUGCCGAUGCCAAUUAUAUUAAGACUCAAUCUGCAAAAAGACAACUACUCUACCAUUGCACUCAACACUUGUUGUAUUUUUAUUACUCUAUUAAUGUUUAACAUAUCUGCAUUUCAUCUUUAUUCAUGAUUCUGAAUAUCAUGUAUUAUUCUUCAUAUUCAAGGUUUAUAAUUAUUCCUCCUAACAAUAUUGUCUCUAAAUUUUGAAAUUAUGUUAUCUUCUGGAGAGUACAAUAUAUCUUAUCACUAUAUUCAACAGUUGUUGAUUUUAUAUGAUGAUAAACUAAAUUCUGAAAUUCAAUUUUGAUUAGAACUGUGAAGUGAUGGAGGACACAAAUUAAUUAGGUUUGAUGUAUUUGGGCAAAAUAAGGCCUAUAGGCCAUUUUUUAAUUCUAAUUAGGACUUUAGACCAAUUUUAACUUUAAUCGAGAAAUAGGUUGAUUUUAUAGAAAGUGCGUCUAACUAGUCCCCUUGUUAUACUAGAAUCCGUGAUUGUAUCACAACUGCCAACUGAUACCUUCAUGUAGACAUCGACCCCUGAUCAUAUCAAGCAUUAUUACCCCGAAACUGAAUUUUUCGACGAUGGGUUUUUAAGAUGAUGAUCCUAUCCGGCCAUGACAUAUGAAUUGUAUGUGUACUGAAGCGCAUAUCACAUUCCCAACUCCUUAAAAUUACUUAAGAAUUUCUGUCGUUUGAGUCAAAAACCCUAAAGACUUUUAAAAAAAAUUAAACAGUAAAAAAACCCUAAACUCAAUCCCCAAUCAAAUCAAAACCCUAACCCUAAAUAAAUAAAUAAAAAUCCUAAUUUUGGAAAGAGAAAAAGAAAGCGUAACCAGUUGGGUGCGUUUUACUGCCAUCUAUGCAUAAAGCGCAUUCAAUUGGAUGCGCUUUCCAUAAAACUGACUUAUUUCCCUAAUUAAAGUUAAAAUCAACUUAAAAACCUAAUUAAAUUAAGAAAAUGAUCUAUAGACUUUAUUUUGCCAUGAAUUCAAGUUGAAUCAAUUUAAUUUAAGUAUUAAUAUAUUUAAAUAAAUUCGGUUGUUAUCAUUUAUGUUUUUGAAUUGAUUUUUUUCAAUUCAAAGUAUCUCAGAGUUUAUCUGAAUUCUAAUGUUUUUUAGUUUAAAUAAAAUAGGUUGGAAUUAUUGAUUUUUUAUUAUUAAAUUGAGUUAGAGAUUGAAAUUAAUAAAAGCUCUCCAGUCUUACUUCUCAUUAAUAUGCCUUUGAUUUCAUGGCGAUGAGACUGUAUAUAGAAAGACAAAGCGUCCAAGUCGGUUCAACCACGUGGAUGACUUGGUCCACAUCUGAACCACAGCUUGGAGUCGCAAAACCAGCUUGUCCCCUCAGCCCAGCCAACCCAAUCUUCCAAUUGAACCACAGCUUGGUCCAAUUGAAUUUUCCGAAGCAUAAAAAAGUGUAAUAAUAAAUCAAGCCUUAAUGAAUUGGAUUUAAAAUCCAAGUAGAAAAACCAAAAUGUUUGUUUUUUUCAGAAGAUCGAUGCUAGGAUUCGUAUAUCGCAAAACGUCCUGCUCGCUAAGCUCCAACAUUGCCUACUCAUCUUCUCUAUGUAAAUUCUCACUGAUCCAAUGACGAAAAGGGGAGUUGAUUUGCUAUGGCGCGUUUGAUUAUGUUAUAUAAAGACAAAACCUUGAUUCGUGUGAGUUACUGUCAACUGAGAGCACAAUCAUUUUGCCUUUUGUCUUUCAAGGUUUUGAUUAUUUUAUAUGCCUCCACCUUCAAUCCAAAUGCGUUCAAUGUGAGCAAUAUUAGGCCAGUCCAAACCAGUAUCCAUUUGGCAUCUUUUCGAUAAUUGGGGACAACUAAUAAUUUUCAAGAACGUCAAAGAGGUGAGACGACGCAUCCCCUCUGGCAUUGAUGUAAACUUAACACAAUGAUAUAUUACCAUUACAAUAUUUUUAAGUUAUAGUAAUAAAAUUUUUAAAACAAAAUAUUAUUAUAAUAUUACAAAAUUAUAAAACAAAUAUAUAAUUUCACAUGCAAAUACUUCAAUAUUUCUAAGUAAGUAAUCUUUUACCUAUCUAUAUUUUUUCAAUUAACAAAAAAAUUAUAACUUCUUUUACCUUAAAUUUAUGGUAUUAUAUAGUAAUAUUUAAUUAUUUUAUAUAAAUUAGGAUUUGACUUUUAAAUUUCACAUAAUUUUUUUAAGAAAAUUAAACUGAAUUGAAUUUUCCGAAGCAUAAAAAAUUAUACAAUAAUAAUAAUAAUAAUAAUGAAUCGAGUCUUAAUGAAUUGGAUUCAAAAUCCAAGUAAAAAAACCCAAUUAAAAAUCCUAAUUUUAAUAGCCAAUAAACACCCUAAAGGGCCUGUUUUAUUGUAAAAAUGAUCCGGACAGUACCGGGUGUCUACGGACCUGUUAAUGGGUCAUGUUCUUUACUUCUUCCUCGAGAAAUCCUCGGAUAUAGUUUCGGUUUUCCCCCCUGCAGUUAUCUGGGCUUUAUUCAUACUCCAUGCAUUCAACCUUGAAACUGUUACACUGAGACUUCCAUUGUUGAAUGCAAAAAGAUGGGCUUCGUCAUAAAUAGCAAGCUUUGGAUAAACUCUUGUGGUGAUAACACUUCUUCCUUUUCCACCAAAACUCUCAAUUAUGGAAUGGUCUAUCUGAAAAAAAGGUGAACCAAGAAAUGUAAAAAUGGUAGAAACCAAAAUCAAAAUAUACCGAAAAGGCCAGAGCAGGGUGAACACAAAUCAACGCACCAAGGUUCUUAGUGAAACCAUUUCCCGCUGAGGAUCGAUGUCUAUGAAGGCUCCGUAUGUGGUUUUAUCUAACUCGUUCCGUAAAGAAGACCUGUUGAACAACAUGUUUUUUGACAUUGAAUCAAAUGAAUGUGGAUGACUUAUUGCUUAAAUUGUGGAUAGUUCUGGACAGAAGUGGUGACUAACCUCUUUUGGUCACUGCACAUAAGUACUUUAUAGUCUUUAUGGUCUCGGAAAACCCGGAAGAAAAUCGCAGUUUGUUCAGUCAAGUCUUUUGUUGCCAAAGCUAAUAAACCGAAUGGUCCGAAUUUUCCGGUCACAGAUGCAUCUUGUUUGUCACAGAUUAGUUGGGGAUCAACCAAACUGGUGUCUAUGAACUCGGCCUCUUCUAGUUUGGGCAAUUCAAACAUUAUUUCGAUAUCGGCCUUCCAACAUAGUAAGAAAAUUGUUCAUGACAAUGCAAUUACUUCAAAUACAAAUGGGAAAUUAAUAUGCAACGACAGAGAACUCACCUGCGAAGCAGUGAUGCCCGAAACUUCAAAAACCGACCCGCUUUCGAGCUGCUUGUCAUAAACAUAGACUUCAUUGCCACGUAGACUAUUGAGUUCUUCAACUGGCCACUGCACUAGUUGCUUGCCAUUUAGGUCAAGCCAAAUCUGCCUCGGAAUCGACUGCAAAGGAUUAUCCAUAAACCAUUGAGAUUGAGGAUCGGUGUGAUUCUAAUACAUCAUGCAGCGUCAAUAAAUAUGUAAUGUCAAUCACCUGAAGUCCAGACCAUCCUUUCUUUAGAUCAUCUUCCAUACUAUCGGAUUCAUUUACCCAAGCGCAUAGUAUCCUUCGGUUCUUCUUACCAUCAAAGAACGACUUUGAGGCGUAGAAUUUACCGUAAUCAAAUCUCAAGUCCAAACUGGUUCCGGUAAAGUCAGCAUCAGGAAGGAACCUUUCCUGCUCAGUAACAUAAGUCCCUACUGUAUAGUAAUCAUGGGAAUUGAAACUUGCCUUCAUGACAUGCCUAACACUUGGGUUUUCAACAGAGGUGUCGACCCCAUUGGUGCUGUUAAUCGACACGGGAAAGAAGUCUGGACACUCCCACAUUUCGGUUUUCAACGAUGAAUAAAGAGGAUCUCGAUGCAUAGUCCAAUGAACAAAAUCUUGACUUUGGAAGAGUAUAGCCAUGCCCUGGUUGUUGCUGUAGCUUCCAAUGACUACUUUCCAGGUUCCAUCAGGGCCCUGCCAAGCAGUUGUUGGAUCUCUAAAGUUAUCUCCUUUUACACCAUCCGGUGGAGUCAUUAGAGGGUUUCCGAAGUAUUUGACCCAUUCUACUAGCAAUGGGUCGGAUUCGUUUUUUGGGGUUGCCAGGUUU
RNAcentral lists this long non-coding RNA (6411 nucleotides) under Gossypium barbadense (sea-island cotton). Its description in RNAcentral is "long non-coding RNA (GBAR_LNC012989)". The record is from RNAcentral. Lineage: Eukaryota; Viridiplantae; Streptophyta; Magnoliopsida; Malvales; Malvaceae.